UCCAUUAUGCUGCGCUUACGAACUUUCUUGGGUCGAAUGACAGCUUCAUUUCCCUCCUUAGCAUGAGAAGGUUCCGCAAUAUGAUUGACAGAUGGAGCAGGAACACUCCCGUCCACCUUGUUGUAGUCUUCUCUAAUGCCCUCAUAAGGUGCCCUCCUCUUAGCAAAAUAGGAAUGAACGAACAAAUAGGAAUUUAGCUUGAUAUAAGUAAAGAAAUACAAAAUCAAAUGGCCAUAAAAGCUCAUUAGACCCGUCCAAGGGCCAGGUACCCAUCUGGCCCAGCCCAGCUAGGGCUAGGCUUGUACACAUCUCGAGCCAGCCCAAAUUCAAUUCAAAUAAGAAAAAAUAUUUUUGAAAAUUUAAAUUUCAUUAUAAAGGUAUAUAAAAUAUCAAUUACAAAUACAAUUUUUAAUAUUUUAUUACUUUUUUGAAUAGUGAAAUGGGAUUUUUGGGCAGGCAAGGCCGGAUGAAAACGGGUCUGGGCUCAAUUGUUGUGAAACCGGGCCUCAGCCCAUGGACAGCUCCAAAGUCAUCCCAAACUUUCAUAAAAAUAAGGCCAAGUCAGGCAGGACUUACAAUGGUUGUAACAAUUAAGUGUACGAAGGAGAAAAAUUAGGAGGAGAUUACAAUUACAAGUUAAAGCAUGCAGUGUAAUGAAAGGAUAAGCCUUAAAAUUCAUGGUAAAAGGAUAAGCAUGCAGUGUAAAGAAAAUUUUUUCCAACAGUCCAGUAAUGAUACUAAAUGUAAAAAUGUGCACAUCCGAAUACACACCUCAUGAGUGUGAGCAGCGUCAUUCCUCUUCAUUAAGUUGCGCUUGGGCACUUUCUUGGGUCUAAUGAAAGUUUCAUUCCCCUCCGUAGCUUGAGAGGGUUGCACACUAUGACCAACAGACGAAGCAGGAACACUCCUGCCCAUCUUGUCCUGGUCUUCUCUGAUGGCCUUGUCAGGUGCCCUCCUCUCAGCUUGAGCCUGUUCAAAAUUACAAUUCAUAGGUGCUGCAGGAACACCCUUUUCCUUCCUUACAUCCCCUUCAGCACCUUCAGUACUUAAACUUUUAGCUGCUGCCAUGAAAGAUACUAAUCUCUCAGCAACUUCUAAGGCUUUAGGGAGGGAAUCAGCAACAGUAGCUGUCAAAUCAGAAGGAACACUCCUGUUCAUCUUGUCCUGGUCUUCUCUGAUGGCCUUGUCAGGUUCCCUCCUCUCAGCUUGAGCCCGUUCAAAAUUACAAUUCAUAGAUGCUGCAGGAACACCCUUUUCCUUCCUUACAUCCCCUUCAGCACCUUCAGCACUUAAACUUUUAGCUGCUUCCAUGAAAGAUACUAAUCUCUCAGCAACUUCUAAGGCUUUAGGGAGGGGAUCAGUAACAGAAGCUGUCAAAUCAGCA
RNAcentral lists this long non-coding RNA (1384 nucleotides) under Gossypium barbadense (sea-island cotton). RNAcentral's name for it is "long non-coding RNA (GBAR_LNC008676)". The record is from RNAcentral. Lineage: Eukaryota; Viridiplantae; Streptophyta; Magnoliopsida; Malvales; Malvaceae.